This 406-nucleotide ribosomal RNA is filed under the name uncultured bacterium. RNAcentral's name for it is "partial 16S ribosomal RNA". It matches the Rfam family "Bacterial small subunit ribosomal RNA", at positions 30 to 526 of the family's 1533-position model. The record is from RNAcentral.
AUUGAACGCUGGCGGCAGGCCUAACACAUGCAAGUCGAACGAGUGGCAGACGGGUGAGUAAUGUCUGGGAAACUGCCUGAUGGAGGGGGAUAACUACUGGAAAAGGUAGCUAAUACCGCAUAACAUCAGAUGUGCCCAGAUGGGAUUAGAUUGGUGGUGGGGUAACGGCGCACCAAGGCGACGAUCCCGAGCUGGUCUGAGAGGAUGACCAGCCAUACGGGAACUGCGACACGGUCCAGACUCCUACGUGAGGCAGCAGUGGUGAAUAUUGCCCAAUGGGCGAUAGCCUGAUGCAGCCAUGCCGCGUGUAUGAAGAAGGCCUUCGGGUUGUAAAGUACUUUCAGCGGGGAGGCGUUACCCGCAGAAGAAGCACCGGCUAACUCCGUGCCAGCAGCCGCGGUAAUAC